RNAcentral lists this ribosomal RNA (574 nucleotides) under uncultured Actinomycetes bacterium. Its description in RNAcentral is "bacterial SSU rRNA". It matches the Rfam family "Bacterial small subunit ribosomal RNA", at positions 118 to 707 of the family's 1533-position model. The record is from RNAcentral. Lineage: Bacteria; Bacillati; Actinomycetota; Actinomycetes.
UGGGUGAUCUGCCCUGUACUUUGGGAUAAGCCUGGGAAACUGGGUCUAAUACCGAAUAUGACCACUUCUUGGAUGGGGUGGUGGAAAGCUUUUGCGGUAUGGGAUGAGCUCGCGGCCUAUCAGCUUGUUGGUGGGGUAAUGGCCUACCAAGGCGUCGACGGGUAGCCGGCCUGAGAGGGUGUACGGCCACAUUGGGACUGAGAUACGGCCCAGACUCCUACGGGAGGCAGCAGUGGGGAAUAUUGCACAAUGGGCGCAAGCCUGAUGCAGCGACGCCGCGUGGGGGAUGACGGCCUUCGGGUUGUAAACUCCUUUCGCAACCGACGAAGCUUUUGUGACGGUAGGUUGAGAAGAAGCACCGGCUAACUACGUGCCAGCAGCCGCGGUAAUACGUAGGGUGCGAGCGUUGUCCGGAAUUACUGGGCGUAAAGAGCUCGUAGGUGGUUUGUCGCGUCGUUUGUGGAAUACCGCAGCUUAACUGCGGGGUUGCAGGCGAUACGGGCAUAACUUGAGUGCUGUAGGGGAGACUGGAAUUCCUGGUGUAGCGGUGGAAUGCGCAGAUAUCAGGAGGAAC